Molecule: long non-coding RNA, 737 nt
Organism: Bos taurus (domestic cattle)
Lineage: Eukaryota; Metazoa; Chordata; Mammalia; Artiodactyla; Bovidae
Source: Ensembl
GGCCAUUUCCCCUCCACUCGGUGCCGUAAGGACGUCCGCCCAUCACCAGCUUCGAGGAAUCUCCUCAGCCCUCUGCAGCUUCUGGAGAACAAGACAGCGCCUGAGGGUCGUCAGGGGCCAAGGCACUCACAAGGGGAAGGAGGAAAGGAGGAAGGAAAGAAGCAAGGGAAAGACGUGCCUGAACUGAGCUGGCGCAGAAAGAGCUGCAGAUGACGCCUCAGGGAGUUUCCGGGGACCAUGCGUAGACCCAAGCUUGCUUGUCUUCUUCGGGCUGCCAUGAAGGUCACGUAGCAGUCUGUCUGCGCAGCAUGAUGGGGUCAACAUCCAAACUCUAGUUCUCAUCUCUCAUUUCCUGAAGACCAGCCAGCAUCCUACUUGCACUGAGGACUUCUGUUGGUACUAAUUGGCUAGAGGGAGAUUCCCGGAUUGAUCCAGAACAUCCUUUCCAUGCUAAGGCAGGACUUGGAGUAAGAAGCUGCAUUGAGGCAUGGACGAGUAGAAGAUAGGAAUGAACGAUGAAGAUCAGCCACUGGGACUGACUCGGUUGCAAAGGAUUGCAGGCUCCAUGCCAGCAUCUCCACCACAGCACCGCCACUGAAUGCUCCAUCCUGCCAGGCCACUGCUCCAGGGCCACCGCACCACAGUGCAGUCCUAUCCAUAUCCACUGCCUUUGAGGUCUGAGUGGACACAGCUGGAAACGUCCAAGCAGUGCCACAGAAGAUUGCAACCAUUUAAAG